RNAcentral lists this long non-coding RNA (245 nucleotides) under Homo sapiens (human). RNAcentral describes it as "HSALNT0291111". Lineage: Eukaryota; Metazoa; Chordata; Mammalia; Primates; Hominidae. The record is from RNAcentral.
GAUAGUGAUGAUGGUGAUGGUGAUGAUGGUGGUGAUGAUGGUGAUGAUGGUGAUGAUGGUGAUGAUGGUGAUGGUGGUGGUGACUGUGGUGGUGGUGGUGGUGAUGGUGGUGGUGGUGGUGGUGGUGAUGGUGGUGGUGGUGGUGGUGGUGACAGUGGUGACUGUGGUGGUGGUGACGGUGGUGACGGUGGUGGUGGUGGUGGUGGUGACGGUGGUGAUGGUGGUGGUGGUGGUGGUGGUGGUGG